This 274-nucleotide ribosomal RNA is filed under the name uncultured bacterium. Its description in RNAcentral is "partial 16S ribosomal RNA". It matches the Rfam family "Bacterial small subunit ribosomal RNA", at positions 523 to 796 of the family's 1533-position model. The record is from RNAcentral.
AUACGGAGGGUGCAAGCGUUAUCCGGAUUUAUUGGGUUUAAAGGGUUCGUAGGCGGGGUAUUAAGUCAGUGGUGAAAGCCUACAGCUCAACUGUAGAAUUGCCAUUGAUACUGGUACUCUUGAGUAUACCUGAAGUUGGCGGAAUGUGUCAUGUAGCGGUGAAAUGCUUAGAUAUGACACAGAACACCGAUUGCGAAGGCAGCUGACUAAAGUAUAACUGACGCUAAUGAACGAAAGCGUGGGGAGCGAACAGGAUUAGAAACCCCGGUAGUCC